UUGGUCAUUUAGAGGAAGUAAAAGUCGUAACAAGGUCUCCGUUGGUGAACCAGCGGAGGGAUCAUUACAGAGUUAUCCAACUCCCAAACCCAUGUGAACUUAUCUCUUUGUUGCCUCGGCGCAAGCUACCCGGGACCUCGCGCCCCGGGCGGCCCGCCGGCGGACAAACCAAAACUCUUGUUAUCUUAGUUGAUUAUCUGAGUGUCUUAUUUAAUAAGUCAAAACUUUCAACAACGGAUCUCUUGGUUCUGGCAUCGAUGAAGAACGCAGCGAAAUGCGAUAAGUAAUGUGAAUUGCAGAAUUCAGUGAAUCAUCGAAUCUUUGAACGCACAUUGCGCCCAUUAGUAUUCUAGUGGGCAUGCCUGUUCGAGCGUCAUUUCAACCCCUAAGCACAGCUUAUUGUUGGGAACCUACGGCUUCGUAGUUCCUCAAAGACAUUGGCGGAGUGGCAGUGGUCCUCUGAGCGUAGUAAUCUUUUAUCUCGCUUCUGUUAGGCGCUGCCCCCCCGGCCGUAAAACCCCCAAUUUUUUCUGGUUGACCUCGGAUCAGGUAGGAAUACCCGCUGAACUUAAGCAUAUCAAUAAG
Molecule: ribosomal RNA, 585 nt
Filed under: uncultured fungus
Lineage: Eukaryota; Fungi
Description: eukaryotic LSU rRNA
Rfam family: 5.8S ribosomal RNA (bases 223-376)
Source: RNAcentral